AUCAACGCUGGCGGCGUGCCUAACACAUGCAAGUCGAACGCGAAAGUGGGGGCAACCCCAUGAGUAGAGUGGCAGACGGGUGAGUAACACGUGGGUAACCUACCCUAGAGUGAGGAAUAACCCCGCGAAAGCGGGGCUAAUACCGCAUAACAUCCUUGGGACUCAAGUUCCGAGGAUCAAAGCUCGCAAGAGCGCUCAAGGAGGGGCCCGCGCCUGAUUAGCUAGUUGGUGGGGUAACGGCCUACCAAGGCUCCGAUCAGUAGCCGGCCUGAGAGGGCGAACGGCCACACUGGAACUGAGACACGGUCCAGACUCCUACGGGAGGCAGCAGUGGGGAAUUUUGCGCAAUGGGCGAAAGCCUGACGCAGCAACGCCGCGUGGGUGAUGAAGUCCCUUGGGAUGUAAAACCCUGUCAGCUGGGACGAAACGGCUCGCAAGAGCAAUUGACUGUACCAGCAGAGGAAGCCCCGGCUAACUCCGU
RNAcentral lists this ribosomal RNA (481 nucleotides) under uncultured bacterium. RNAcentral's name for it is "bacterial SSU rRNA". It matches the Rfam family "Bacterial small subunit ribosomal RNA", at positions 32 to 506 of the family's 1533-position model. The record is from RNAcentral.